Tumebacillus algifaecis is the source of this 141-nucleotide non-coding RNA. NCBI's taxonomy places the organism in Bacteria, Bacillati, Bacillota, Bacilli, Caryophanales, Alicyclobacillaceae. The record is from Rfam.
AAGUCCUUUAAACUGAUCCCGUGAGGUCGGUAAGGAGUCGGCUGUAGAGUCCGAACGCUUGCGAGCGUUUCUGGCACUCUGCAAAGAACUGUGUGCAUAUAAACAGGAGGCUUCUUCCGCGAGGGAAGAAGCCUUUUUUGU